This 468-nucleotide ribosomal RNA is filed under the name uncultured bacterium. Its description in RNAcentral is "partial 16S ribosomal RNA". It matches the Rfam family "Bacterial small subunit ribosomal RNA", at positions 28 to 507 of the family's 1533-position model. The record is from RNAcentral.
GACGAACGCUGGCGGCGUGCCUAACACAUGCAAGUCGAACGGAAAGACCCUGCUUUUGUGGGGUGCUCGUGUGGCGAGCGGGUGAGUAACACGUGAGUAAACUGCCCUUGACUUUGGGAUAACUUCAGGAAACUGGGGCUAAUACCGGAUAGGAUCUCCUGCUGCAUGGUGGGGGUUGGAAAGUUUCGGCGGUUGGGGAUGGACUCGCGGCUUAUCAGCUUGUUGGUGGGGUAGUGGCUUACCAAGGCUUUGACGGGUAGCCGGCAUGAGAGGGUGACCGGCGACAUUGGGACUGAGAUACGGCCCAGACUCCUACGGGAGGCAGCAGUGGGGAAUAUUGCACAAUGGGCGGAAGCCUGAUGCAGCAACGCCGCGUGCGGGAUGACGGCCUUCUGGUUGUAAACCGCUUUCGCCUGUGACGAAGCGUGAGUGACGGUAAUGGGUAAAGAAGCACCGGCUAACUACGUG